Molecule: non-coding RNA, 21 nt
Filed under: Caenorhabditis elegans
Lineage: Eukaryota; Metazoa; Nematoda; Chromadorea; Rhabditida; Rhabditidae
Source: RNAcentral
UCCGUCGUUUUCAUAUAAAUA